RNAcentral lists this transfer RNA (79 nucleotides) under Amycolatopsis oliviviridis. RNAcentral describes it as "tRNA-Arg". Lineage: Bacteria; Bacillati; Actinomycetota; Actinomycetes; Pseudonocardiales; Pseudonocardiaceae. The record is from RNAcentral.
GGCGCAGGUAGGUGGAGGGUUCCACCCCGGUCUGCGAGACCAGGUUCCGCCGCGCGUCCAGAUACGCGCCCAGCGCCUC